RNAcentral lists this small RNA (332 nucleotides) under Pongo abelii (Sumatran orangutan). RNAcentral describes it as "processed transcript". The record is from RNAcentral. Lineage: Eukaryota; Metazoa; Chordata; Mammalia; Primates; Hominidae.
GGGUGAGGGGUACGUCGGGAGCCCCCGGCGCCCGGGUAUUAAUGGGGCUCCAUUAGUGCCGGGAGGAGGCGCAUUAGCGGCGGCGACGGCGUCUGGCUCCCAUUACCACCGGCGGCAGCGGCUGCACCGCAGGCGGCUGGACCUAGCCCGCCGCCGCCGCCUCCUCCACCCCAACCCUAUCCCCUGUCCCGCUCCCCACGAGGGCCCGGUGUGGACUAAUGUGGAACCUCGCUCUGUGGCUGUGUUCCCCUGGCACUCCUUAGUCCCCUUCCUGGCACCCAGCCAGCCUGACCCCUCCGUGCAGCCGAGCGAGGCGCAGCAACCUGCCAGCC